AGAAUCAACGCUGGCGGCGUGCCUAACACAUGCAAGUCGCACGAGAAAGGGUAGCAAUACCUUAGUACAGUGGCGCACGGGUGAGUAACACGUGAAUAAUCUACCUCCGAGUGGGGAAUAACUGAGAGAAAUCUUAGCUAAUACCGCAUAACACUUACGAGUCAAAGCAGCAAUGCGCUUGGAGAGGAGUUCGCGGCAGAUUAGUUAGUUGGCGGGGUAAUGGCCCACCAAGACGAUGAUCUGUA
RNAcentral lists this ribosomal RNA (245 nucleotides) under uncultured bacterium. RNAcentral describes it as "partial small subunit ribosomal RNA". It matches the Rfam family "Bacterial small subunit ribosomal RNA", at positions 26 to 285 of the family's 1533-position model. The record is from RNAcentral.